This 687-nucleotide long non-coding RNA is filed under the name Gallus gallus (chicken). RNAcentral's name for it is "lncRNA (ENSGALG00010008737.1)". Lineage: Eukaryota; Metazoa; Chordata; Aves; Galliformes; Phasianidae. The record is from RNAcentral.
GCAAACUUGUUCAAACUCAUUUUGGCUGUUAUGCUCUGCUUCUCCAAUAUCGGAGAUCUCUCCACGCCAGUCAGGGUACCAUCCAUGUGGAACAUGAGGGCCCUUCUCUUUGCUUGCAGAGGAGGCUUGUUGGGAGCAAGCUCCCUGGGUUCCCAAGAAGGUCGUGUUUCGCUGAGGCUGUGAACUCUCAAACUCUGCAUUCCUGCUGUGCAUCACAGCCUGCUUUACGAGGUUGUUUGCUGAGAACACAAGUGUUGCAGUUUGUCUGAACAAAGAGGAACUAUAACUUCUAGAGGAGCCCUUUCCUCCUUAUAGCUGCUGUAUCUAUAGUCACAUCUACCUGUGCUGUCUUUUGUAGCCUUCUGCUCUUAAAGGGAAAGCAGCAAAAGCAGUUUUCGGUCUUGCUGAAGACUGCUGGGACACUACUUUGAAGAAGAAAGAAAGAAAGAAAAUCCAAUGAACUAUUGUGGUGGUCUGAUGCGCUGUAUUUGGAGUAUGGUGCUCAUCUUUUCACCCAUUUUUCUAAGAAUGUCUGUAGGUCUAACACUGUCUCUGCCCUCCGCCCGUCAACAGAAGAUUCUUUUGCUCAUGCUUCUCUUCCUCAGAAAGACAGGAUGUUGUGACCUGAGCUUUGUUAUUAUUCCCCAGAGGCACCUGUGACAAGCGAAGAAACAUCAGAUAUUGGUA